Molecule: ribosomal RNA, 253 nt
Filed under: uncultured bacterium
Lineage: Bacteria
Description: partial 16S ribosomal RNA
Rfam family: Bacterial small subunit ribosomal RNA
Source: RNAcentral
UACGUAGGGUGCAAGCGUUAAUCGGAAUUACUGGGCGUAAAGCGUGCGUAGGCGGCAAUGUAAGACAGAUGUGAAAUCCCUGGGCUUAACCUAGGAACUGCAUUUGUGACUGCAUUGCUAGAGUGUGGUAGAGGGAGAUGGAAUUCCGCAUGUAGCAGUGAAAUGCGUAGAUAUCGGGAGGAAUACCGAUGGCGAAGGCAGGUCUCUGGGCUAUAACUGACGCUCAUGCACGAAAGCGUGGGGAGCAAACAGG